GAGCACGUAGGUGGGUUUGUAAGUCAGAUGUGAAAGCCCUCUGUUCAACGGAAGAAUUGCAUCUGAAACUGCGAGUCUUGAGUGUAGGAGGGGAGAAUGGAACUUCUGGUGGAGCGGUGAAAUGCGUAGAUAUCAGAAGGAACGCCGGCGGCGAAAGCGAUUCUCUGGCCUAUUACUGACACUCAGUGUGCGAAAGCUAGGGGAGCAAACGGGAUUAGAUACCCCGGUAGUCCUAGCCGUAAACGAUGGGCACUAAGUAGAGGGG
This 265-nucleotide ribosomal RNA is filed under the name uncultured Planctomycetales bacterium. RNAcentral's name for it is "partial 16S ribosomal RNA". It matches the Rfam family "Bacterial small subunit ribosomal RNA", at positions 565 to 828 of the family's 1533-position model. Lineage: Bacteria; Pseudomonadati; Planctomycetota; Planctomycetia; Planctomycetales. The record is from RNAcentral.